RNAcentral lists this ribosomal RNA (253 nucleotides) under uncultured bacterium. Its description in RNAcentral is "partial 16S ribosomal RNA". It matches the Rfam family "Bacterial small subunit ribosomal RNA", at positions 524 to 776 of the family's 1533-position model. The record is from RNAcentral.
UACGGGGGGAGCAAGCGUUGUUCGGAUUUACUGGGCGUAAAGGGCGCGUAGGCGGUAGCACAAGUCAGUUGUGAAAUCUCCGGGCUUAACUCGGAAAGGUCAACUGAUACUGUGCGACUAGAGUGCAGAAGGGGCAACUGGAAUUCUCGGUGUAGCGGUGAAAUUCGUAGAUAUUGGGAAGAACACCAGUGGCGAAGGCGGCUCACUGGCUCGUAACUGACGCUCAGGCGCGAAAGCGUGGGGAUCAAACAGG